RNAcentral lists this ribosomal RNA (1012 nucleotides) under Aspergillus insolitus. RNAcentral's name for it is "SSU rRNA". It matches the Rfam family "Eukaryotic small subunit ribosomal RNA", at positions 85 to 1106 of the family's 1831-position model. Lineage: Eukaryota; Fungi; Ascomycota; Eurotiomycetes; Eurotiales; Aspergillaceae. The record is from RNAcentral.
AACUGCGAAUGGCUCAUUAAAUCAGUUAUCGUUUAUUUGAUAGUGCCUUACUACAUGGAUACCUGUGGUAAUUCUAGAGCUAAUACAUGCUGAAAACCCCGACUUCGGGAGGGGUGUAUUUAUUAGAUAAAAAACCAACGCCCUUCGGGGCUCCUUGGUGAUUCAUAAUAACUCAACGAAUCGCAUGGCCUUGCGCCGGCGAUGGUUCAUUCAAAUUUCUGCCCUAUCAACUUUCGAUGGUAGGAUAGUGGCCUACCAUGGUGGCAACGGGUAACGGGGAAUUAGGGUUCGAUUCCGGAGAGGGAGCCUGAGAAACGGCUACCACAUCCAAGGAAGGCAGCAGGCGCGCAAAUUACCCAAUCCCGACACGGGGAGGUAGUGACAAUAAAUACUGAUACGGGGCUCUUUUGGGUCUCGUAAUUGGAAUGAGAGCAAUUUAAAUCCCUCACCGAGGAACAAUUGGAGGGCAAGUCUGGUGCCAGCAGCCGCGGUAAUUCCAGCUCCAAUAGCGUAUAUUAAAGUUGUUGCAGUUAAAAAGCUCGUAGUUGAACCUUGGGCCCGGCUGGCCGGUCCGCCUCACCGCGAGUACUGGUCCGGCUGGGCCUUUCCUUCGGGGGAACCCCAUGGCCUUCACUGGCUGUGGGGGGAACCCGGACUUUUACUGUGAAAAAAUUAGAGUGUUCAAAGCAGGCAUUUGCUCGAAUACAUUAGCAUGGAAUAAUAGAAUAGGACGUGCGGUUCUAUUUUGUUGGUUUCUAGGACCGCCGUAAUGAUUAAUAGGGAUAGUCGGGGGCGUCAGUAUUCAGCUGUCAGAGGUGAAAUUCUUGGAUUUGCUGAAGACUAACUACUGCGAAAGCAUUCGCCAAGGAUGUUUUCAUUAAUCAGGGAACGAAAGUUAGGGGAUCGAAGACGAUCAGAUACCGUCGUAGUCUUAACCAUAAACUAUGCCGACUAGGGAUCGGGCGGCGUUUCUACAAUGACCCGCUCGGCACCUCACGAGAAAUCAAAGUUU